UACGAGGGGGGCAAGCGUUGUUCGGAUUCAUUGGGCGUAAAGAGCGUGUAGGCGGCUUUGCAAGUCCGUUGUGAAAACUCGAGGCUCAACCUCGAGACGCCGGUGGAAACUGCAAAGCUAGAGUCCGGAAGAGGAGAGUGGAAUUCCUGGUGUAGCGGUGAAAUGCGCAGAUAUCAGGAAGAACACCCGUGGCGAAGGCGGCUCUCUGGGACGGUACUGACGCUGAGACGCGAAAGCGUGGGGAGCGAACAGG
RNAcentral lists this ribosomal RNA (253 nucleotides) under uncultured bacterium. RNAcentral's name for it is "partial 16S ribosomal RNA". It matches the Rfam family "Bacterial small subunit ribosomal RNA", at positions 524 to 776 of the family's 1533-position model. The record is from RNAcentral.